GACGUAGGGCGCGAGCGUUGUCCGGAUUUAUUGGGCGUAAAGAGCUCGUAGGCGGCUUGUCGCGUCGACUGUGAAAUCCCGCGGCUCAACUGCGGGUCUGCAGUCGAUACGGGCAGGCUAGAGUUCGGUAGGGGAGAAUGGAAUUCCCGGUGUAGCGGUGAAAUGCGCAGAUAUCGGGAGGAACACCGGUGGCGAAGGCGGUUCUCUGGGCCCUACCUGACGCUGAGGAGCGAAAGCGUGGGGAGCGAACAGG
Molecule: ribosomal RNA, 253 nt
Filed under: uncultured bacterium
Lineage: Bacteria
Description: partial 16S ribosomal RNA
Rfam family: Bacterial small subunit ribosomal RNA
Source: RNAcentral